UGGGGAAUAUUGGACAAUGGGCGAAAGCCUGAUCCAGCCAUGCCGCGUGUGUGAAGAAGGUCUUCGGAUUGUAAAGCACUUUAAGUUGGGAGGAAGGGCAUUAACCUAAUACGUUAGUGUUUUGACGUUACCGACAGAAUAAGCACCGGCUAACUCUGUGCCAGCAGCCGCGGUAAUACAGAGGGUGCAAGCGUUAAUCGGAAUUACUGGGCGUAAAGCGCGCGUAGGUGGUUUGUUAAGUUGGAUGUGAAAUCCCCGGGCUCAACCUGGGAACUGCAUUCAAAACUGACUGACUAGAGUAUGGUAGAGGGUGGUGGAAUUUCCUGUGUAGCGGUGAAAUGCGUAAAUAUAGGAAGGAACACCAGUGGCGAAGGCGACCACCUGGACUAAUACUGACACUGAGGUGCGAAAGCGUGGGGAGCAAACA
RNAcentral lists this ribosomal RNA (427 nucleotides) under uncultured bacterium. RNAcentral's name for it is "partial 16S ribosomal RNA". It matches the Rfam family "Bacterial small subunit ribosomal RNA", at positions 355 to 774 of the family's 1533-position model. The record is from RNAcentral.